AGUCGAGCGGGGGAAGGUAGCUUGCUACCGGACCUAGCGGCGGACGGGUGAGUAAUGCUUAGGAAUCUGCCUAUUAGUGGGGGACAACAUCUCGAAAGGGAUGCUAAUACCGCAUACGUCCUACGGGAGAAAGCAGGGGAUCUUCGGACCUUGCGCUAAUAGAUGAGCCUAAGUCGGAUUAGCUAGUUGGUGGGGUAAAGGCCUACCAAGGCGACGAUCUGUAGCGGGUCUGAGAGGAUGAUCCGCCACACUGGGACUGAGACACGGCCCAGACUCCUACGGGAGGCAGCAGUGGGGAAUAUUGGACAAUGGGGGGAACCCUGAUCCAGCCAUGCCGCGUGUGUGAAGA
RNAcentral lists this ribosomal RNA (349 nucleotides) under Acinetobacter baumannii OIFC083. RNAcentral's name for it is "bacterial SSU rRNA". It matches the Rfam family "Bacterial small subunit ribosomal RNA", at positions 60 to 411 of the family's 1533-position model. The record is from RNAcentral. Lineage: Bacteria; Pseudomonadati; Pseudomonadota; Gammaproteobacteria; Moraxellales; Moraxellaceae.